UGCGUAGGUGGUUUCUUAAGUCAGAGGUGAAAGGCUACGGCUCAACCGUAGUAAGCCUUUGAAACUGGGAAACUUGAGUGCAGGAGAGGAGAGUGGAAUUCCUAGUGUAGCGGUGAAAUGCGUAGAUAUUAGGAGGAACACCAGUUGCGAAGGCGGCUCUCUGGACUGUAACUGACACUGAGGCACGAAAGCGUGGGAGCAAACA
Molecule: ribosomal RNA, 205 nt
Filed under: uncultured bacterium
Lineage: Bacteria
Description: partial 16S ribosomal RNA
Rfam family: Bacterial small subunit ribosomal RNA
Source: RNAcentral